UGAAGGCGUCUAAUGCAAAGGUUAUUGG
RNAcentral lists this small RNA (28 nucleotides) under Bombyx mori (domestic silkworm). RNAcentral's name for it is "ovarian small RNA-30956". Lineage: Eukaryota; Metazoa; Arthropoda; Insecta; Lepidoptera; Bombycidae. The record is from RNAcentral.